CAGUCGCCGCGGUAAUACGAAGGGUGCAAGCGUUACUCGAAAUUACUGGGCGUAAAGCGUGUGUAGGUGGUUGUUUAAGUCUGUCGUGAGAGCCCUGGGCUCAACCUGGGAAUUGCGAUGGAUACUGGGCGACUAGAGUGCGGUAGAGGAUAGUGGAAUUUCCGGUGUAGCAGUGAAAUGCGUAGAGAUCGGAAGGAACAUCUGUGGCGAAGGCGACUAUCUGGGCCAACACUGACACUGAGACACGAAAGCGUGGGGAGCAAACAGGAUUAGAUACCCCCGUAGUCCCUGUCUCUUAUAC
RNAcentral lists this ribosomal RNA (301 nucleotides) under uncultured bacterium. Its description in RNAcentral is "partial 16S ribosomal RNA". It matches the Rfam family "Bacterial small subunit ribosomal RNA", at positions 509 to 807 of the family's 1533-position model. The record is from RNAcentral.